AGUGAACGCUGGCGGUAGGCCUAACACAUGCAAGUCGAACGGCAGCACAGGAGAGCUUGCUCUCUGGGUGGCGAGUGGCGGACGGGUGAGGAAUACAUCGGAAUCUACUCUGUCGUGGGGGAUAACGUAGGGAAACUUACGCUAAUACCGCAUACGACCUACGGGUGAAAGCAGGGGACCUUCGGGCCUUGCGCGAUUGAAUGAGCCGAUGUCGGAUUAGCUAGUUGGCGGGGUAAAGGCCCACCAAGGCGACGAUCCGUAGCUGGUCUGAGAGGAAGAUCCGCCACACUGGAACUGAGACACGGUCCAGACUCCUACGGGAGGCAGCAGUGGGGAAUAUUGGACAAUGGGCGCAAGCCUGAUCCAGCCAUACCGCGUGGGUGAAGAAGGCCUUCGGGUUGUAAGGCCCUUUUGUUGGGAAAGAAAUCCAGCUGGCUAAUACCCGGUUGGGAUGACGGUACCCAAAGAAUAAGCACCGGCUAACUUCGUGCCAGCCGCCGCAGUAA
Molecule: ribosomal RNA, 506 nt
Filed under: uncultured bacterium
Lineage: Bacteria
Description: partial 16S ribosomal RNA
Rfam family: Bacterial small subunit ribosomal RNA
Source: RNAcentral